RNAcentral lists this ribosomal RNA (468 nucleotides) under uncultured bacterium. Its description in RNAcentral is "partial 16S ribosomal RNA". It matches the Rfam family "Bacterial small subunit ribosomal RNA", at positions 28 to 507 of the family's 1533-position model. The record is from RNAcentral.
GACGAACGCUGGCGGCGUGCUUAACACAUGCAAGUCGAACGGAAAGGCCCUGCUUUUGUGGGGUGCUCGAGUGGCGAACGGGUGAGUAACACGUGAGUAACCUGCCCUUGACUUUGGGAUAACUUCAGGAAACUGGGGCUAAUACCGGAUAGGAGCUCCUGCUGCAUGGUGGGGGUUGGAAAGUUUCGGCGGUUGGGGAUGGACGCGCGGCUUAUCAGCUUGUUGGUGGGGUAGUGGCUUACCAAGGCUUUGACGGGUAGCCGGCCUGAGAGGGUGACCGGCCACAUUGGGACUGAGAUACGGCCCAGACUCCGACGGGAGGCAGCAGUGGGGAAUAUUGCGCGAUGGGCGGAAGCCUGAUGCAGCAACGCCGCGUGCGGGAUGACGGCCUUCGGGUUGUAAACCGCUUUCGCGUGUGACGAAGCGUGAGUGACGGUAAUGGGUAAAGAAGCACCGGCUAACUACGUG